UACGGGGGGGGCAAGCGUUGUUCGGAAUUACUGGGCGUAAAGGGUUUGUAGGUGGCUCGCUAAGUCACACGUGAAAUCCCUCAGCUUAACUGGGGAACUGCGUGUGAGACUGGCGAGCUUGAGGACAGGAGAGGAACGCGGAAUUCCAGGUGUAGCGGUGAAAUGCGUAGAUAUCUGGAGGAACACCGGUGGCGAAGGCGGCAUCCUGGACCGGUAUUGACGCUGAGGCGCGAAAGCUAGGGGAGCAAACGGG
This 253-nucleotide ribosomal RNA is filed under the name uncultured bacterium. Its description in RNAcentral is "partial 16S ribosomal RNA". It matches the Rfam family "Bacterial small subunit ribosomal RNA", at positions 524 to 776 of the family's 1533-position model. The record is from RNAcentral.